GCUAACUGAUGCAUGCUAGUUGCUUCUAACUAAGCACAAACAAACUAACCCUUCCGUGGCAGAAGGGAAUGACACUUUGCAAAUUAACCGCAUGCUCUCCCGUUUCCUUGCAGGUGCCCUGACUCUGGCGCUCCCACCUGGUGAUGACCGACGGAGCGCUGACAGGCACAUCCAGGGCAUGGCUGCUCCCCCGCGCCCCGCCCUCCCCAAACAUCUCUGACGGACGGUUGGCUGCAGCCCAGGAAGCACCGUCGCGCCGCGGCCUGCAUCCCAGCCCCGCCCCUCCGAGCGGGAAGGAGGGCUGUGUGGAAUGCUCCAGCUCCCUCGCCAGCCUAAACGCAAGCCCGCUCUUUCCAGUGCAAUAAAACGAGAUGUACAACAA
Long non-coding RNA from Eublepharis macularius, 382 nucleotides. RefSeq lists it as uncharacterized. NCBI's taxonomy places the organism in Eukaryota, Metazoa, Chordata, Lepidosauria, Squamata, Eublepharidae. The record is from RefSeq and is a predicted model, not a curated record. The transcript has 2 exons.